Molecule: ribosomal RNA, 340 nt
Filed under: uncultured eukaryote
Lineage: Eukaryota
Description: partial small subunit ribosomal RNA
Rfam family: Eukaryotic small subunit ribosomal RNA
Source: RNAcentral
AGCUCCAGUAGCGUAUAUUAAAGUUGUUGCACUUAAAAAGCUCGUAGUUGGUGAUUCGUUUCCUGCUUGUUCGUGCUUUGGUACGGACUUUGCUGGGGUCGAUAUUUGGGUGUUUCACCUAAACACACUGUGAAUAAAUCAGAGUGAUCUAAACAGGCUUUGCUUGAAUGUUUCAGCAUGGUAUGGGUUCUCGACUACGCUGUCUGCCGGCAUCGGUAUAGUUAGCGGAGUAAAGGUUAAUAGAGACAGACGAUGGAAUUCGUAUUGAGUUGCUAGAGGUGAAAUUCUUAGACCAACUCAAGACGACCAGAAGCGAAAGCGUUUUUCACGUAUGCUCUUG